Molecule: long non-coding RNA, 1141 nt
Filed under: Ovis aries (sheep)
Lineage: Eukaryota; Metazoa; Chordata; Mammalia; Artiodactyla; Bovidae
Description: lncRNA (ENSOARG00000026946.1)
Source: RNAcentral
GGCGCCGCUCGGCUCCCCUAGGGUGCGCAAGCGCGGCUCGCCACUCGUGCGCCCCGGAGAACCUGGAUGCCCCCGCCCCCCUAAGGAUCUGCACUGCUGCCACGCCCCUCCAGGCCCCCCUCGGGCCUCGCCCUCCGCGGGAGAACCGGACGCCUGCGGGCUCAGCAUGAACUUCGCAGCCCGGAUUUCGGGCACCCCUGUCGGCCUCGGGGCGUUCCUUUCCUAGGGGACCACGCCUCCUCCCGGCCACUUUCCCUGCGCGUCCGCUCCCGGGGUAAAGGGCAUCCUUCCUGGGCGGGAUCCACCGGCGGCGCGGAGCUCCCUGGGUCACAGCCCUUCGCCGAUCCCCGGGAGGCGUCCGGCCGGCAGCGGCGCGCAGCCCACUUUGCUGAAAGAACUGUGCAGCGGGAGCGACCAUGUCGGGGCCCCGCCCCUGGGAGGGGCCGGGCCACGCCACGCCUCUGUCUCUCUUAAAGGGGCCGCAUCCCAUUACACCGGGACCAUCGAAUUUCUACCACCAUCCACCCGGCGGGAACCAGAACCCCCUGCAACACACGUGGCUCUUAGGGGUGCCGGGACCCCGUCACCCCGUCUCGUUACCGCUCUCCACGUGCAAAGUGAACAGACGAAACCCGGGACACAGACCUUGUCGGUUUAUGUAGAAAGAAGUGGGGAGCUGGGCGGUAAGAGCGCAGGGAACGGGGGUGCCUACAGGCCGAUGACGUCGUCCGGCUUGAGGUCCGCGUUGGCAAGGCAGCGGGCCCGGGGGUGCUGCGCCUCGGGGCCGGGGUCCACGUCCGGCUGAUCGGAAGAGCAUCGUGCCACCCCGACUCGGGGCCUGCUCCCCCCGCCCCAGGGCUCACCAGGUCACCAGCUGCCUCGCCCACGCUCCACGCUCCCGGGUCUGGGCUCCCGACCCGAGGCCACCCUCCACACAGCACCUUGCUACCUGCCCCUUCAGAACCGUGUGCCACUCAAACUGCUCACCAGUUUCAGGGCGAGCUCCAAACUCUUCUAAGUGGACUCAAGGCUGUUCGUCAUGCCGCAGAGGAGGCCCCCCAGCCUCAGCUCUCACUUCUGUUUUGCUCCAAACGCGAAGGCUGCAGUCACACCACAAACACACACACACACACACACUCAG